This 551-nucleotide ribosomal RNA is filed under the name uncultured bacterium. RNAcentral describes it as "partial 16S ribosomal RNA". It matches the Rfam family "Bacterial small subunit ribosomal RNA", at positions 355 to 898 of the family's 1533-position model. The record is from RNAcentral.
UAGGGAAUCUUCCACAAUGGACGCAAGUCUGAUGGAGCAACGCCGCGUGAGUGAAGAAGGUUUUCGGACCGUAAAGCUCUGUUGUUGGUGAAGAAGGAUAGAGGUAGUAACUGGCCUUUAUUUGACGGUAAUCAACCAGAAAGUCACGGCUAACUACGUGCCAGCAGCCGCGGUAAUACGUAGGUGGCAAGCGUUGUCCGGAUUUAUUGGGCGUAAAGCGAGCGCAGGCGGAAGAAUAAGUCUGAUGUGAAAGCCCUCGGCUUAACCGAGGAAUUGCAUCGGAAACUGUUUUCUUGAGUGCAGAAGAGGAGAGUAGAACUCCAUGUGUAGCGGUGGAAUGCGUAGAUAUAUGGAAGAAUACCAGUGGCGAAGGCGGCUCUCUGGUCUGCAACUGACGCUGAGGCUCGAAAGCAUGGGUAGCGAACAGGAUUAGAUACCCUGGUAGUCCAUGCCGUAAACGAUGAGUGCUAAGUGUUGGGAGGCUUCCGCCUCUCAGUGCUGCAGCUAACGCAUUAAGCACUCCGCCUAGGGAGUACGACCGCAAGGUUGAA